GAAUAUUAAUUUAUAGAGGUUUUACUGUAUUUGUAUCAUACGAGAAAUCCAUUCGUGUACUUUUGGCAGUUUCCGCUUGUUGAAAUUCAGUGACAUCAAACUGAGUAUACAUAUCUCGUUCAUCUUCAUCUGAGUAAAAUUUGUUUCUCCCAUUAAAUAUUUAUCAUCUUAGUCAAUCAGACUUUCUUAAAAAAAAAAAAAAAAAAAAAAAAAAAAAAAUAUCAAUCAAUCAGAGUCUGCCACGUAGGCGUCUCUUAACCCACCAAUGGUAUCUUCUCCAAUAUACUCC
This 289-nucleotide long non-coding RNA is filed under the name Capsella rubella. RNAcentral describes it as "long non-coding RNA (CRUB_LNC000762)". Lineage: Eukaryota; Viridiplantae; Streptophyta; Magnoliopsida; Brassicales; Brassicaceae. The record is from RNAcentral.